This 283-nucleotide long non-coding RNA is filed under the name Brassica napus (rape). Its description in RNAcentral is "long non-coding RNA (BNAP_LNC020401)". The record is from RNAcentral. Lineage: Eukaryota; Viridiplantae; Streptophyta; Magnoliopsida; Brassicales; Brassicaceae.
GUGUACAAAAGAGUGAGAUGAGUGAUGGUAUUUAUAGUAAACAACAAUACAUAAAAUAACAAAGAUGAUGCUUGAUUUGGUAAAUGAGUGGGUGAUCAUAGUGUUUGAGUUGGUAAAGGAGUCGAGUAUCAUUUCGAAGUUUAUUUUAUAACAUACAGCAUAUUUUACUGGUGGAUUCUUAUUGCUAUAGUAAAAGGAAUCAAAGCUUGGAAGGAACAAUUAAUGAAGAUAGAAAGCAAACAUGCAACGAAGCACGGCGCUGCACGUUGUCCAUGUGAAUUGC